AAGUCGUAACAAGGUUUCCGUAGGUGAACCUGCGGAAGGAUCAUUAUCAAAUUAUCCAAAACCUGGGGGUAUAACUAUCGCAAGAUGGUUAUAUUCCUUAAACCAAACGUGAACUGUUUCGCCUCUGGCUAACGCUAAUGUAAGUAGGAUAUGGGUUCGAAAGAAUCCUAAUUCUGCUUGUUAGUCAGAGUGUAUUCUUUACAUUAAAUUAACCAAUUGAACCGUUUUAUAUAUAUUGACUUGUUUGAACUGAAUUUGUUUCUUACCUUGCGUAAAACCAAGGAAGAUAACAUAAUUUACGAAACAAUAUAAAUAUAACUCUUAGCAACGGAUAUCUUGGUUCUC
This 345-nucleotide unclassified non-coding RNA is filed under the name fungal sp. RNAcentral's name for it is "partial internal transcribed spacer region". The stretch from base 1 to 46 matches the Rfam family "Eukaryotic small subunit ribosomal RNA", at positions 1786 to 1831 of the family's 1831-position model. Lineage: Eukaryota; Fungi. The record is from RNAcentral.